UCAUAUUAACGCAACCCAAUCUUGCAAUUUGCAUCCUGCUUAAUUGGCCUAGCUAGGAGUACUUUUACUCAUGAUCGAGAUCUUGCAUGUGUUGCAAUGGAUUGGAUGCCAUUGCAGGUCCUCGGCCGACGCCGAUCGUGGCCGGGAGAGUGCAGCUGGUGAGCAAGAACAACAGGGAGGCGCCGCUGGAGGAGAACACCCAGAAGGUGAUGCUGGAGCUGACCGGCGGCGACUCCACCGCCGACCGGUCCGGGCUGGACCUGGUGGCCGUCCUGGACGUGAGCGGCAGCAUGCAGGGCGAGAAGAUCGACAAGAUGAAGACCGCGAUGCAGUUCGUGGUGAAGAAGCUGAGCACCAUCGACCGCCUCUCCAUCGUCACCUUCUCCGACGCCGCCUCCAGGCUCUGCCCACUGCGCCAGAUCACCGACGCGUCCAAGGCGGACCUCCAGGGGAUCGUCGACGGGCUCAAGCCUGGCGGCAACACCAACAUCACCGACGGCCUCGUCACGGGGCUCAAG
This 518-nucleotide long non-coding RNA is filed under the name Brachypodium distachyon (stiff brome). Its description in RNAcentral is "long non-coding RNA (BDIS_LNC003671)". Lineage: Eukaryota; Viridiplantae; Streptophyta; Magnoliopsida; Poales; Poaceae. The record is from RNAcentral.